UCUCUCCCUCCCGCCGAGGGCUUUGGGGCCAUGCUGCUGGCCGGGGGGUCGGUCUGGACAUGUCACUUGUGCCGUAUUGCUGGCAAGCGUCUCCCUUUUUCGAUGGCAUCUAAAGUUGCCUGAAAAUAUGCAGGGGCAGGACGGAGGAACAGCAUCCGACAUACCCUCAGGCAGGACUUUGUUCGCCAUCUAAGAUGGAAAACCGAAGAGUCACAAAUGGGAUGGAAAUAGUCUUCCCCGUGGCAAG
Hemiscyllium ocellatum (epaulette shark) is the source of this 247-nucleotide long non-coding RNA. RefSeq lists it as uncharacterized. The record is from RefSeq and is a predicted model, not a curated record. Lineage: Eukaryota; Metazoa; Chordata; Chondrichthyes; Orectolobiformes; Hemiscylliidae. The transcript has 3 exons.